AAAAGUCGUAACAAGGUUUCCGUAGGUGAACCUGCGGAAGGAUCAUUAACACGUAUCCAAACGUUAAAACCCCCCCCCGUGAACCUUCAUCCUGCUCUUGUAACCCGCGUAGUUCGCAAUCUCUGAUAAAUCAUCGCCCCCCCUAAUAACCCCACAGUUUAAUGUGAAGCUCAAUGUAAUACAUUGGGUAAAAAACCCGAACAACUGUUAACAAUGGAUAUCUUGGUUCUC
Molecule: unclassified non-coding RNA, 231 nt
Filed under: fungal sp.
Lineage: Eukaryota; Fungi
Description: partial internal transcribed spacer region
Rfam family: Eukaryotic small subunit ribosomal RNA (bases 1-48)
Source: RNAcentral